RNAcentral lists this ribosomal RNA (1178 nucleotides) under Escherichia coli. RNAcentral's name for it is "partial 23S ribosomal RNA". It matches the Rfam family "Bacterial large subunit ribosomal RNA", at positions 1 to 1212 of the family's 2925-position model. The record is from RNAcentral. Lineage: Bacteria; Pseudomonadati; Pseudomonadota; Gammaproteobacteria; Enterobacterales; Enterobacteriaceae.
GGGUUGUGAGGUUAAGCGACUAAGCGUACACGGUGGAUGCCCUGGCAGUCAGAGGCGAUGAAGGACGUGCUAAUCUGCGAUAAGCGUCGGUGAGGUGAUAUGAACCGUUAUAACCGGCGAUUUCCGAAUGGGGAAACCCAGUGUGUUUCGACACACUAUCAUUAACUGAAUCCAUAGGUUAAUGAGGCGAACCGGGGGAACUGAAACAUCUAAGUACCCCGAGGAAAAGAAAUCAACCGAGAUUCCCCCAGUAGCGGCGAGCGAACGGGGAGGAGCCCAGAGCCUGAAUCAGUGUGUGUGUUAGUGGAAGCGUCUGGAAAGGCGUGCGAUACAGGGUGACAGCCCCGUACACAAAAAUGCACAUAUUGUGAGCUCGAUGAGUAGGGCGGGACACGUGGUAUCCUGUCUGAAUAUGGGGGGACCAUCCUCCAAGGCUAAAUACUCCUGACUGACCGAUAGUGAACCAGUACCGUGAGGGAAAGGCGAAAAGAACCCCGGCGAGGGGAGUGAAAAAGAACCUGAAACCGUGUACGUACAAGCAGUGGGAGCCUCUUAAUGGGGUGACUGCGUACCUUUUGUAUAAUGGGUCAGCGACUUAUAUUCUGUAGCAAGGUUAACCGAAUAGGGGAGCCGAAGGGAAACCGAGUCUUAACUGGGCGUUAAGUUGCAGGGUAUAGACCCGAAACCCGGUGAUCUAGCCAUGGGCAGGUUGAAGGUUGGGUAACACUAACUGGAGGACCGAACCGACUAAUGUUGAAAAAUUAGCGGAUGACUUGUGGCUGGGGGUGAAAGGCCAAUCAAACCGGGAGAUAGCUGGUUCUCCCCGAAAGCUAUUUAGGUAGCGCCUCGUGAAUUCAUCUCCGGGGGUAGAGCACUGUUUCGGCAAGGGGGUCAUCCCGACUUACCAACCCGAUGCAAACUGCGAAUACCGGAGAAUGUUAUCACGGGAGACACACGGCGGGUGCUAACGUCCGUCGUGAAGAGGGAAACAACCCAGACCGCCAGCUAAGGUCCCAAAGUCAUGGUUAAGUGGGAAACGAUGUGGGAAGGCCCAGACAGCCAGGAUGUUGGCUUAGAAGCAGCCAUCAUUUAAAGAAAGCGUAAUAGCUCACUGGUCGAGUCGGCCUGCGCGGAAGAUGUAACGGGGCUAAACCAUGCACCGAAGCUGCGGCAGCGAC